This 401-nucleotide long non-coding RNA is filed under the name Nicotiana benthamiana. RNAcentral's name for it is "long non-coding RNA (NBEN_LNC020010)". Lineage: Eukaryota; Viridiplantae; Streptophyta; Magnoliopsida; Solanales; Solanaceae. The record is from RNAcentral.
UCAGAUUCCAAAGGAGAAGAGGAAGAGGAAGAACCAGAGAAGGAAGGUAAGUGGCAAACAUAAUCAUUGAGAUAAGAGAGAGGAUUAUGUUGCCUGUCAGAUCUUCUGUGUCUAGUAGGGGCAGCAGCGGAAGAUAUAACAGGAGGAGAAGGAUCAGGGUUGAAAGGAGAAGUGGAGGCAGGAUGAUUAAGAGCAGAAAGAGGGGAGGGAGGAAGGGAAGAGUAAACAUGACUGGAGGCAGAAGGAAAAGAAGCAGGAGGAGAAGGACAAAUGGGAACAUGCAGAUCAAUUUCAGAACAGGGAAGCUCAGGGGAAGGAACUACAGGAGAAGGAAAAGCAGAAGGACUAGAGGUAACAGCAGAAGCAGAGUCAAAAAGAAAGCAGGUUUCGUGAAAAAUAAC